RNAcentral lists this long non-coding RNA (278 nucleotides) under Ricinus communis (castor bean). RNAcentral describes it as "long non-coding RNA (RCOM_LNC000924)". Lineage: Eukaryota; Viridiplantae; Streptophyta; Magnoliopsida; Malpighiales; Euphorbiaceae. The record is from RNAcentral.
GGCAACUCAUCAUUAAGCUUUGUAUAUGAUUAUGGUACAUGCCAACAAAAGAAGAAGGAGAAGAAGAAGAAGAAGAAGAAGAAGAAGAUUGAUGAUAAUGAUAAAGAUAAAGAUAAAGAUAAAGAAAAGAAUCAUUCAAAAAUUGGUUUAGAACUGAAACUUCACCAAUGAGCAACGAAGCAUUUCCCUUUGUCUCUCUACUUGAUAAAGACUCCUCCUCCUCCUGUGCCCCAUUCAUAUAUAAUGCUGUUGAUGAUAGAACAAUAAUAGCCCCAUUU